CAGCAGCCACGGUAAUACGGAGGAUCCAAGCGUUAUCCGGAAUCAUUGGGUUUAAAGGGUCCGUAGGCGGUUUAGUAAGUCAGUGGCGAAAGCCCAUCGCUCAACGGUGGAACGGCCAUUGAUACUGCUGAACUUGAAUUAUUAGGAAGUAACUAGAAUAUGUAGUGUAGCGGUGAAAUGCUUAGAGAUUACAUGGAAUACCAAUUGCGAAGGCAGGUUACUACUAAUUGAUUGACGCUGAUGGACGAAAGCGUGGGGAGCGAACAGGAUUAGAUACCCCUGUAGUCCCUGUCUCUUAUAU
Molecule: ribosomal RNA, 301 nt
Filed under: uncultured bacterium
Lineage: Bacteria
Description: partial 16S ribosomal RNA
Rfam family: Bacterial small subunit ribosomal RNA
Source: RNAcentral